ACACCACGCUCUUGAAUUCUUCUUUCCUCGCAGUGUUUUUAUUACAAAUGUGUUCAGUGGAUUUUUUAAAAUACGAUGUCAAUCGAAGUUGAUAAAAAAAAAAAAAGGCGAUGUUUACUUGUGUCUGGUAUUUUCGAACAAUGAGUGAGACCUGAGAGGCUGAUAUGUUUAAGCCAAACACCUGCCCAUGAAACAACUCUUCAUUUAUCGUUUCAUUUGCUCGUGGCUUCCAGUUCAAUUGUGUUAAACUUUAAGUCUUGAACAAUGUUUAUAUCGAGCUGUGCGUCGCUGAUCACAUUUCCCACCAACACUUUUAGUUUCUGUGGUGAAAAAACACCUGACAAAGUAAAACACCUGAUGUGUGCUAAAACACUAUUACCCGAUGAUAAAGGAAAUGUGAAAAUUUCUAAAGUUUCAAAAGAAUUGUAAUUUAAUAUCUAGUUCCUAUGCUGUAGCAGAAUGAUUGUGCUCAAGCAACUGGAGAAAGCGUUUGUGAAGCAAACAAACUACAGUGUCUAAUUGGCUAUUUUAACUGCCAUCAGGUGGUUCUUACGACCCGGUGUGUUCGCAGCGAACGAGUGGCCAGCAUAGCCGCCGUCUACCCAAACAUCAAGUACCUUUCAUCGAUGGCUAACUCCAAGAUUUCUUACUUUCCAUGCUCCUCCGGACUUUGGCAUUCCGGUGACGGCCAUCUGUCCGCUACAUUCUAACCUUCCCAGUGUAUAUUGGCCGGAAGAACCCUCCAAUAUGGUACGACCGAAGUUCAAACGCGUGAUUGGCAGCAAAUUCUUGACGGCGAUAACUCCUGCAAGCUAACAGUGUAGGUAGACCUGAAUCGCAGUUACAUGUCACGGCAGGUGAUUCGACACAAUUUCCGUCCAUUCCGCACUGGCAGACGUGGACACUAGAAUUACUUCCCGACCAAAAGUAUUGCGGGUUUCCAUUCC
Daphnia pulicaria is the source of this 947-nucleotide long non-coding RNA. RefSeq lists it as uncharacterized. Lineage: Eukaryota; Metazoa; Arthropoda; Branchiopoda; Diplostraca; Daphniidae. The transcript is spliced from 4 exons. The record is from RefSeq and is a predicted model, not a curated record.